Molecule: long non-coding RNA, 339 nt
Organism: Cebus imitator (Panamanian white-faced capuchin)
Lineage: Eukaryota; Metazoa; Chordata; Mammalia; Primates; Cebidae
Exons: 3
Source: RefSeq, a predicted model, not a curated record
UGGCUCAUAAUAAGCUGGAAGACCAAUGACUGCUUCUCAGAGACUCCCAAAGGCCCAAUGUCCUGGCUGCAGAUUUGCGGCUGAGUCAGCACGGUGCACAGCAGAAAGGUGGGGGAGGGUGGCCAGUGCCGCCCUGCCAGGCUCUGUCUGUAUUACCUGGAGCAGCACGGACCCUUCAGUCUCCAUUCUCUCUUCAGGAAAGAGGCCUCCUCAUAGAUGGACACAUCAAGGCUCAGAGUUGUCGGUGUGAUGAUUCCCUGCAUACUUCAGGAUGCAUCCUCCGUCAUCAGGCUGGGCUGCAAGAUAGAAUAUAACAUGCAUAUGGCAGACGUCAAAAGG